CACUGGCUCUGACCUGACCUCAGUUAAAGUUUGAAUGGAAGCUGUUGCUGUUUUGUGUUGCAGCAGUAUAGGAUAUGAGAAGAGUGAUUAGAUUUCCUCUAAAGUGGAAAGAUGCUUCAGACCAUGCCUAAGGUCCCUGCAGGGUUUUGCCACGGUUGGUGCGGGCUCGCCCACUUCUCCAGGAGCAAAUCCUGUGCUCCGCAGGCUUGGAAGGCAGAGAGAGCAGAGGUUUGGGAGAGCUCACCAGCUGCUUCAGGCCUGGUAAAGUGUGUGUUAGGAGCUCAGCCUUCUUGGGGGAAUUUCAGGAUCGACUUCCCAGGGGAGGUUCUGCAAAUGAGGAUGGGUGUUAAAGCAGAUCUGCCAAAUCAUGGAAGAAUCACAGGGUCCUAGAAUGGUUUGUGCUGGAAGGAACCUUAGAGCUCAUCCAGUUCCCAACCCCCUGCCAACGGGCAGGGACACCCAUCAGCAUUUACUAGUGUGGCUGGGUCAGGAUUAAACAUUGCAGCAGGCUGCGUGCCAGUGGAAAUCUAGGGAGGAAGGUCUUUCCUCUUUCACAUUUAAACAAGAUCUUAACUUGCAACUCCUUGUCUUUCCCUAAGCAUCGUUCAGUGAAAAGAAAACACCUUGCUGCCUUUUUCAGCCUUUAUGAUGGACAGAAUGCUGAUAGAGCUGUGCAGAAGGAGCUCAAGGCCACCAAGGCUGGGAAACAUUCUGCUUCUGCAGCACUUGCAGGUCACUGUGGGGUUUUGCAUUCAUUAGCUCUCCAGAGUCCCCAUGGGGCACCAGGGCUUUGCAUAUUCACCUGUUACCAAAGAGAAGAGCUGCUCAUUUCCCUCAUGUGCAUUUGUGUACCAUACAUUUACCCCCUCUGCCUUUAUUGGAGAAGAUGUUAGGAAGGAAAAACCUGAUAAUCAUCAAGAGACAGGUCAGUAAUAGAUUACACACACACACGUUUUGAGAUUCUUCCCUUCUAAGCAGUAUUAAUAACUUUUACCAGAGUUAUUUUGCUGCUCAGCGUCUUUCUUUAGGCAAGCGGUUGUUUCCAAAGGAGGAAAAUGAGUUCUGGGAAGGGUUUUCCCUUCACAAGGCACAUUUCCACCACAGGGAUUGCUCCAACAAAUUCUGUCGUGCCAGUCUGUGAUUUCUAACACGUUCUUCAGGAGCGAGAGGCUGCUAUAGCUGCCAUCCCAAAGCUGUGAGCAGGGAUCACUGGUGGUCUGUAGGACCAAUAUGGAACUGCUAAUUUUAGCCAGGAAUGGAGCCUCAAAUAAAAUGUUCUUCCUCAAUCUCAUGGAAAAAAAGUUUAUUAAACAGAAUCGUAUCACUUAAA
Molecule: long non-coding RNA, 1330 nt
Organism: Neopsephotus bourkii (Bourke's parrot)
Lineage: Eukaryota; Metazoa; Chordata; Aves; Psittaciformes; Psittacidae
Exons: 2
Source: RefSeq, a predicted model, not a curated record